CCCUUAGAUGUUCUGGGCCGCACGCGCGCUACACUGACGGAGGCAGCGAGCAUGUCCUUCGCCGAGAGGUGUGGGGAAUCUUGUGAGUCUCCGUCGUGCUGGGGAUAGAUGGUUGCAAUUGUCGAUCUUGAACGAGGAAUUCCUAGUAAGCGCGAGUCAUCAGCUCGCGCUGAUUACGUCCCUGCCCUUUGUACACACCGCCCGUCGCUACUACCGAUUGAAUCGUUUAGCGAGAAUUUUGGAUCGGAGCCCUGGUGGGCAGCGAUGCCCGCCUGGGAUUUACCGAGAAAUCAUUCCAGCUUGCCGAUUUAGAGGAAGUAAAAGUCGUAACA
RNAcentral lists this ribosomal RNA (332 nucleotides) under uncultured eukaryote. RNAcentral describes it as "partial 18S ribosomal RNA". It matches the Rfam family "Eukaryotic small subunit ribosomal RNA", at positions 1470 to 1796 of the family's 1831-position model. The record is from RNAcentral.